This 248-nucleotide ribosomal RNA is filed under the name uncultured Muribaculaceae bacterium. RNAcentral describes it as "partial 16S ribosomal RNA". It matches the Rfam family "Bacterial small subunit ribosomal RNA", at positions 524 to 772 of the family's 1533-position model. Lineage: Bacteria; Pseudomonadati; Bacteroidota; Bacteroidia; Bacteroidales; Muribaculaceae. The record is from RNAcentral.
UACGUAGGGAGCGAGCGUUAUCCGGAUUUAUUGGGUGUAAAGGGUGCGUAGGCGGCCAGAUAGGUCUAUGGUUUAAGCCCGAAGCUUAACUUCGGUUCGCCAUAGAAACCGUUUGGCUUGAGUAUGGUAGAGGCAAGUGGAAUUUCUAGUGUAGCGGUAAAAUGCGUAGAUAUUAGAAGGAACACCAGUGGCGAAGGCGACUUGCUGGGCCAUCACUGACGCUGAGGCACGAAAGCGUGGGGAGCAAA